GCUGAGUUCGUCUAGUCUGGCCCAGGACACCACCCUUUCAAGGUGAGAACGCCGGUUCAAAUCCGGUACUCAGCUCCA
Molecule: transfer RNA, 78 nt
Filed under: Burkholderia ubonensis
Lineage: Bacteria; Pseudomonadati; Pseudomonadota; Betaproteobacteria; Burkholderiales; Burkholderiaceae
Description: tRNA-Glu
Rfam family: tRNA
About the family: Transfer RNA (tRNA) molecules are approximately 80 nucleotides in length. Their secondary structure includes four short double-helical elements and three loops (D, anti-codon, and T loops).
Source: RNAcentral